This 416-nucleotide long non-coding RNA is filed under the name Zea mays. RNAcentral's name for it is "long non-coding RNA (ZMAY_LNC005085)". The record is from RNAcentral. Lineage: Eukaryota; Viridiplantae; Streptophyta; Magnoliopsida; Poales; Poaceae.
AGAGGCCCAACCCUAUAUCCAGUGUCUCGUGUGUUUCCUCUGUCGUGUUUAUGGGAAGGGAGACGAGUUCUCUACAUCUUCUUGCGCCUCUACUGCUGACGGGAGGGAAGGGAGCGGAUCUGGUGAUCCGUGGUAACGUAGUUCUCAACACGUUAUCAGCACGCUCUACCUCAACGUUGCUACGGAUCUGAUCUACAUCAAGUCUUCGUCAAGUCGGCAGGUCCCUGGCCUAGCCGAACUGUCCUACGCGACAGACUUCAUUUCCGUUCGUUGAAUCAAGAAACAUGGUAUGAAAAUUAUAGAUUAGAUAUGAAACUGCAUAUGGAUUUACUCUCUACUUCGGCUCCAUGUACUAGCACUUGCAUGAACGAAUGGCAUCUGAAUUAGUUUGGACAAAAACUACUGCCAAUGUGCUC